AUGGAAACGCUACUCAAGGGAUGGGAGGGCAAUAUGCAAAGGUCUGGACAACAGCUCUGGAGUCAAUUGCCUUUCUCUGCUUGCCCAGAGCCGGCGGGGCAGCCCUCCCCAGCAUCUGUCAGCCCAGCACCCUCCCAACGCUGGUGUCAGUGAUGUGGGGAAGAGUGUGGGCUGAGCAGAGCAGCUGGGCCAAAGGAAAUGGAUGUGCAGCCAGAAUGGGUGGCACCUGAAAUAAAGAUGGACAGACGUGCACUGGGACGGCCCAGAGACAAGCUGAA
This is a non-coding RNA of Coturnix japonica (Japanese quail), 278 nucleotides long. The record is from RefSeq and is a predicted model, not a curated record. Lineage: Eukaryota; Metazoa; Chordata; Aves; Galliformes; Phasianidae.